AAUAAGCAAAUUAAAGUCCGAUUGCAGAACAAAUGCUAGCCCCUCCAACUACAACUAACUUAGACAGCUAAAGCAAUCACCAAAGUCUGCUCAACAAAGAUACAAGAAGAUGAAUAGAAAGAGUUGGAAAAAAGAAACAGUUGGUGAAUCAUUCAUUAAUGAGUACGCAAGAAUUCAUCUUCACAAACCAAUAUAUGUACCCUUUUCUACCCUGAAGCGUUUCUGCAGCUUCACAAGAUUCAUAUAUUCUCAUCACCAAGGUAUCUCCUGGCUUUCGGAAUCUUUCUUUUGUCGAUUCCAGCAGAGAAGAAGCUACUGCGCCACCCUUCCACCUCCGGUUCUACCAUAAUUAUAACUGCAACCUCAGCCACUGCCUGGAUCAAACAGUAAUGUAACAGUGAAGCCUUUAGUUAAGCUCACGGUUAGUCAAUUAGUUAGAAUCUGUUAGGCAGAUAAGAGUGAGGUUAGGAAGUUUAAUUUACAGCUAAAGCUUCUUGUAUCAGAUCUAUAAAUACUUGUAACAUUCAUAGAAAUAAAGUGAUUUUCCCUUUGCACAAUUACUCUUCUCCUUGCUUCCUCUCUUAUCAAACAUGGUAUCGAGCUGCUUAUUUUAGAUCCAGACGGUUUUUUUUCCUUCUUCUUCCUUGUGCUUCUCUUGGUUUUUCUGAACUGUGAAUCAUGUCCACCGAUUCUGAUUCACAAAAUUCAUCUUCCUCCACCACAAAUCAUCAUUCUUCAUCCCUAAACCUCACAAAUCUGCCAACCAUGCAUCCAAUAGCUCUCAAAUUGGAUCGCAACAGUUACAAUUUUUGGAAGGUGCAGGUGCUCGCUACUGCCCGAGCGUAUAGCUUCGAAGAUGUUCUUCUUCAAACUGAAGCUCCUAUUGAAUUUCUAGACGAUCGAAUCACUGCAAAUCCAGAGUAUCUCACCUGGCUCCGAAGGGAUCAGUUUCUCUUCAGCUGGAUUCUCGCUUCAAUCACUCCUCAAAUGAUGGGGUACAUUGGUCGCUGCACCACCGCCGCUCAGAUCUGGAAGGCAUUUGAGACACUCUUCCACUCUCAAUCAAAGGCACGAGCUAUGAAACUCAGAAGCCAGCUUCAAUCCACGAAGAAAGGUGCUUCAAAUAUUGAUGACUAUAUUCUGAAGUUCAGAGAAAUUUCGGAUCAGUUGUUCAACAUUGGACAACCAAUCUCAGAAUCCGAUUUGGUUUCCUACAUUCUGCAAGGACUCGGUGCAGAUUUCGAAAGCAUAAGUGUCCUACUCUCUUCUCGGUGUGAUGAAAUGACACUCAUGAAGUGCAAUUUCUCUUCAAACUCAUGAGCUACGUCUCCAAAAUCAAGCCGCUAUCACCACUUCUAUGGCUAAUCUUACAUUUCAGCCGCAAGCAAAUGCUGCCUAUCAAUCUUCAAAUGGCAGUGCUAAUAACCGUGGUCGUGGCAAUGGCCGGUACGGCAGAGGAUCUAGUAAUCGCGGUAGAGGCGGAGGAAGGUAUUCAACAGGCAAUAAGCUUAUUUGCCAAUUGUGUGGUAAGACGAAUCAUGUCGCACUCAAAUGUUUCAAACGCUUUGAUGUGAGCUUCACUGGACCAGAUCCUCCUUCAUCUCCUGCUCCACAAGCGCAUCUUACAAAUCCUGAUACUCCCUCAAACUCUAACUCUGCCUACAAUACUUCAUCUAUUACUACUAACUCUACAUCUCAGUUUCCUCCUGCAGCUUAUACAAACACAACUCACUCCACUCUACCAUCUACUUCUGAAUGGUACCUGGACUCUGGAGCUUCGGCUCAUGUAACUGCAGACAUGGGAAAUAUGCACACUCAAACACCUUAUCAUGGCUCAGAAUCCCUCUCUGUAGGUAAUGGCUCCCAACUCUCUAUAACUCAUACUGGAACAUCAGUUUUACCAUCUAAUCUUCAUCUGAAAAACAUCCUGCUUGUCCCUAACAUCACCAAAAGCUUAAUAAGCAUCUCUAAAAUCACAGCUGAUAACAAUGUGUACAUUGAAUUUCACUCAGAUUUUUGUUUUGUUAAGGACAACACUACUCAUCAGGUUUUACUGGAGGGCAAACUUAAGGAGGGGCUGUAUCACCUAAAUCUCAAAGGUCUUUCUACAAAUUCUUCUUCUACUGAUGAUCUAUAUUCCACUGUACACAAGCCUCAGUCUAUGCAAUGUAGUAUUUCACCUUUAGAUGUAACAACUUGGCAUGCUAGAUUAGGACACCCCUGUCAUGCUGUAUUGCAGUCUACCUUUAAGGCCAUGAAUCUCUCUGUAAAACCAUCUUCAAAUACCUUCUGUAAUUCCUGUGCAAUUGGAAAAAUACAUGCUAUUAGUUUUCCUUCGUUGAAAUCAAAACAAAUGCUCCAUUUCAACUUGUUCAUACAGAUGUUUGGGGACCCAGCCCCACUGUUUCAAAUGAUGGUUUCAAAUAUUAUGUUCAUUUUAUUGAUGACUUUACAAGAUUUACUUGGAUCUUUCCAUUAUCUGCAAAAUCUGAGGUUUUAUCUGUUUUUCAAAAAUUCUAUAAGUUCGUAGAAAGACAGUUUCCUUACAAGUUAAAAGCAAUCCAAUCAAAUUGGGGGGGUGAGUAUAGGCCACUUAAAACCUUCUUAGAUAACUUAGGAAUUCAGUUUAGACAUCCUUGUCCUCACACUCAUCAACAAAAUGGAAAAUCUGAGAGAAAACAUAGACACAUUGUUGAGCUUGGUCUUACUUUGCUUGCUACUGCCUCUCUUCCUCAAUCAUUUUGGUGGGAUGCUUUUACAACUGCAGUAUAUCUUAUAAACCGUUUACCCACUCCAUCUCUAAAAAAUGCAUCUCCAUUUCAAUCCUUGUUUCACAAAGUACCAGAUUAUAGCUUCUUAUAGGUGUUUGGGUGCAGCUGUUUAUCUGAGGCCUUACAAUACAUCUAAACUCCAGUUCAGAUCAUCCCAAUGCUUAUUCUUAGGAUACAACCAUGAUCACAAAGGAUAUAGGUGUCUUCACCCAUCAGGAAGGCUUUAUAUAGCUAGGACUGUUUUGUUUAAUGAACAAGACUUUCCUUAUAUGCGGCUAUUCUCUCCCUCAAGCUCAUCUUCAGCUCAAUCACAUGAAAGCUCCUCCUCAUCUCCUGCACAUAACUGCUCAUGUUUCCAUCAUAUACCUCCAUCCCUCCAGGUUCCUCUAUCUGCUCCACCCCCAAAGCCAUCUUCUUCUUUAUCUCACUCAAACUCUCUCCCUCCAACUUUACAAAUAACUUCUCCCUCUCCAGUUCAGUCUUCCCCAUCUCCUGCACCUCACAAAUCUCCUACACUACUUCCACACUCUCCUUCUCCAGUCACUAUACCACACAAUCAACACCCAAUGACCACUAGAUCAAAAAUAGGUGUGUUUAAACCAAAAGUUUACAUUGCCAUAUCUAGUCUCCCACCAUCUGUACUUCUCACUUCCUCCACCCAUCCAGUAGCUCACAUCACCACAAUGGGAAAUAAAUACACUGAACCUUCCUCUAACUCUGCUGCCCUUGCUGAUCCACUGUGGUACAAGGCUAUGGAGGAUGAAAUUACUGCCAUUCAAGAGAAAGAAACAUGGGAAAUUGUCCCUCCUGCCUCAGGCACAAACCCUAUUGAUUGUAAAUGGGUUUAUCGGGUCAAGCUUCACCCUGAUGACACCCUUGAUAAGCUCAAGGCCAGGCUUGUAGCUAAAGGGUUCCAACAGUUAGCUGGUCUGGACUUUCUUGAGACUUUCAGUCCGGCCAUUAAACCAGUGUUUGUGAGACUUUUAUUCUCUUUAGCUGCCUCAUUUAAUUGGGAUAUACAACAUAUUGAUAUUAAUAACGCAUUUCUCAAUGGUUAUUUGGAUAGACCUGUUUUCAUGAAACAACCCCCAGGUUUUGAACACCCUCAACAUCCUGACUGGGUGUGCAAGCUAAAGAAAUCUCUCUAUGGGCUUAAACAAGCUCCAAGAGCUUGGUAUGAAAGACUUAAAGCUCAUCUCUUCAGGUAUGGUUUCAAACAUUCAGCCUCUGAUCACUCCUUCUUUAUGAGGCAAAGUGGCAGUCUACUGUUGGUACUAGUGUAUGUUGAUGACAUACUUAUCACCGGGGAAGAUCCUCAGCUGGUCUAACAUUUUAUUCAGUCAUUAUCUCAUGAGUUUGCCUUAAAAACUCUAGGCAAUGUCAAGUUUUUUCUUGGUGUAGAAGUCUCCAAAAAGCAGCAUGGCUAUCAUCUAUCUCAGACCAAAUAUAUUCGAGAUUUGCUUACCAAAACAAAUCUUCAAGACAGCAACGCUCAGCCUUCUCCCUAUGAUUCUGGAGUUAAACUACAUCUUAAAGAUAGUCCAGCUUUUUCCAAUCCUACACUUUAUCGAAGCACCAUUGGUGCUCUACAGUGUCUCAAAUCACCAGGCCCGACAUCUCAUUCAUGGUCAACAAGUUGAGCCAAUUUCUCCAAAAUCCAACUGAACUGCAGUGGAAAGCAUGCAAGCGACUGCUCCGGUGUCUAAAAGGUACUCUCACUCACUCUCUUAAGUUCACUGCAUCGCCUUAUCUCACACUAAGUGCCUUCUCGGAUGCCAUUGGGCGGGGUCUAUUGAUGAUCGCAAAUCUACUGGGGGAUACCUGGUUUUCUUGGGUCCAAAUCUACUAUCUUGGAGCUCUAAGAAACAGGGUAUUGUAUCUCGAAGCUCCACUGAAGCAGAGUACCGCUCGCUUGCUGAUACUGCUAUGGAACUCGUAUGGAUAAAGUCUCUUUUAACGGAACUUGGUUAUAAUUUGCCUCAAUCACCUAUAAUUUGGUGUGACAACAGGAGCGCUGCUCCUAUGGCGUCAAACCCGGUGCUUCAUGCACGGACUAAACACAUAGAAAUCGACGUUCACUUUGUUCGUGACAAGAUUAUCAAACAAGAGCUGGAUGUUCAAUACAUCUCCACCACCGAUCAAAUGGCGGAUAUACUUACUAAACCAGUGUCCAUAUCUCGGUUUAAGUUCUUACUUGAUAAACUUCCAUUUGAAAAAGGCUGAAGUUUUGGGUUUUUUGGGACUGUAAUGUAACAGUGAAGCCUUUAGUUAAGCUCACGGUUAGUCAAUUAGUUAGAAUCUGUUAGGCAGAUAAGAGUGAGGUUAGGAAGUUUAAUUUACAGCUAAAGCUUCUUGUAUCAGAUCUAUAAAUACUUGUAACAUUCAUAGAAAUAAAGUGAUUUUCCCUUUGCACAAUUACUCUUCUCCUUGCUUCCUCUCAUAUCAAACA
RNAcentral lists this long non-coding RNA (5220 nucleotides) under Salvia miltiorrhiza (redroot sage). RNAcentral describes it as "long non-coding RNA (SMIL_LNC011724)". The record is from RNAcentral. Lineage: Eukaryota; Viridiplantae; Streptophyta; Magnoliopsida; Lamiales; Lamiaceae.